CCUACGGGGGGCAGCAGUGGGGAAUAUUGGACAAUGGGGGGAACCCUGAUCCAGCCAUGCCGCGUGUGUGAAGAAGGCCCUCGGGUUGUAAAGCACUUUCAGUGAGGAAGAACGCCUGGUGGUUAAUACCCAUCAGGAAAGACAUCACUCACAGAAGAAGCACCGGCUAACUCCGUGCCAGCAGCCGCGGUAAUACUGAGGGUGCGAGCGUUAAUCGGAAUUACUGGGCGUAAAGCGCGCGUAGGUGGCUUGAUAAGCCGGUUGUGAAAGCCCCGGGCUCAACCUGGGAACGGCAUCCGGAACUGUCAAGCUAGAGUGCAGGAGAGGAAGGUAGAAUUCCCGGUGUAGCGGUGAAAUGCGUAGAGAUCGGGAGGAAUACCAGUGGCGAAGGCGGCCUUCUGGACUGACACUGACACUGAGGUGCGAAAGCGUGGGUAGCAAACAGGAUUAGAUACCCCAGUAGUC
This 465-nucleotide ribosomal RNA is filed under the name Vreelandella stevensii. RNAcentral's name for it is "partial 16S ribosomal RNA". It matches the Rfam family "Bacterial small subunit ribosomal RNA", at positions 338 to 795 of the family's 1533-position model. Lineage: Bacteria; Pseudomonadati; Pseudomonadota; Gammaproteobacteria; Oceanospirillales; Halomonadaceae. The record is from RNAcentral.